GUCGGGGGGGUCGAAGUCCCCCCAGCAGGACGAGAGCCGGCGAGCGCGAUGCCUGCUGUCGCUGGGGUAAGGCGGCUUCGUCAGCGGGCUCCCCGCGAUCGGGCGACCUGUAGUAGACACCAACCACGAGGUUGGUCGGUUCCCCUUUUUGAGAUUUUUAUAUUAGCAACGCGCAGCGUAGCGUCACUUAUUUUGAAGCUGACAUUUUGCAUUAUACAGGUUUUUAGUUGCUCAUAAAACUUUUGCCGGCUUGCACGAGUCUGAAAUUUUCCAUAAGGGGUGUUGGCCUCAAACUGAAUUUUUUUGGGAAGAUUCCAGACAGUUUUUUCAGCUGCCUGAGAUCAAAAUGCAGAUUAUUUGCCCUUGCUAAAAAAAACAAACCAAACCAAACCCAAAUCGAAAGAAAAAAAAUUUACAUUUAAACAGCAGGAUGGUCCUUGUGUUGAGCAGGGGUCCCUGGCAUUCUCUGGAGAACUGCCAAGUUAUUUGGCUGCAUAAAAGUCUUUGAAAUAUCUUGGUUUACAAAUAUUCAGUAGACUUCUAAAUACUUAGUUGUUAAAGGUAGGGUUUCACAGGCAAUUUUAUUUCUAGCGCUUCCUUAUUAAGUGCUGUGCAAGCUUAAAGGAAUUUUUAAUUGGGUAGGGCGGUUAAUUAUUUAUUCUACCAUUUCAAAUAACAUCCUCUUAGUUUAAACUCUCAUUGGCUUAGGGGGAGAAAGGUUAAAAAAAAAAUCCAAGAUUUACCUUAUAACUCUCUAAGCUCACAUUUCAUUUGCCUUAUUUGUCCAUGAAUCAAAGAUAUCGCCUCCAGAGUUGUUGGCGAGUACACGUAAUAAAGGUAAAAGGACUAGUAAAUAUUCAGCCCGAUACGUUGCUGGAAGUCAGCACUGACAGAUCUUGAAAAAGAAAAGCUAGAGAGGAUUCAAAGAGUUAAAAGGAUUGGACCAACAGGACUCCAACUGAAUGGAGCAAAAGGAAGAAGCAAAGCACAAAUUAAACUUCUAAAAGUCAGGGGUUCUCUGAAGAAGCCCCUCGUCUCUCCCUGUCCUCACCUGACUUGAGGUGCAGAAUCUAUGCUCUACUUUAAUUGAUAGGAGUUUGUGAUCUGCUUAUAUGUGAAGCAGCUUUUCAGCACUCCGUAAGCUGCCAGGUUGCACAGGCAAGUACUGAGAAUCCACUUUUCUGUGACAUGACGUGUCAAAAGAGACCUUUCGAUAAACCUCAAAAUCCUUUCAAAGACAAAUGUGAAGUUUUAACCCCAAAAGUAAAUUCCCAGCAUGAACAUACAAAUCGGUAGAAUUGCAACAGCGUGUAGUAGCCAGUAACGUACAGGAAGAAUUAGGCCUUCAGGAAAAUGGAAAUCAUUUCAGAUCAGAGUUUCCAAAACACUUAAAGCACAAGCUUACCUCUAAGCGCACAAUGGUCCCACCGGUGUUAACAGGACAAUUUAUGUGCCUAAAGCGUACAGGUACAUGGAUUGCAGGGCUGUCCCGGCGUUCGCUGGCUCAGCACGUUUAACACGCGCGUUACCAGACAACUAGGCGAGAAACCAAAACCAUAUGGAGAAUACGGGAAUGCUUGCGAUCGCUGCGGAAGGACUAAUUAUGUUCUCAUAGCUUUUUUUUUGUGAAAAGUAUGGCUCCACAUCAGAUUUAUAAAGGAUUAAGUUGCAUACAGUUACUGCCAAAGGAAUAAAUGGGAGACAAUUUAAAGAAAAAUACCUGUUGCUAAACUUUGUUAUCAACAGCAUUUUGGUUGUAGCCAGGAAAAAGUACAAAAGAAAAAGUGUCCUUCUGUACACCCAGUGCUAAGUCACCAAGGUAAAAAAUGCUUCUUUACUGAAAACCUGCAAAAGCUGCAACUUAAUUCUGUAUGUGUAAUAGUUAGGACUAUGUUGCAAAUGAAAUAUUUUGAGAUUCAUAAUAGGUUACAUAGUCAAAUAAAUGAUAAGCAAAAACAGGAAGAAAAAUGAAUCGGAGAACCUUAAGGCACAUUUGCAGGAGAAAAUGCUUUUCGGAUCUUCACCAUAAACUAAAUAAACUGAAAUAACUAGACAUAGAAUUGUGUAAUGUUUGGCAGGGGAAGAGGCUUUCUAAAUAACAUAAUGAAUCCUGUCUAGUACAUUAGAUUUCUUUACAAACGUCCACAGAGAGGCAACAAAGAAGAGCUGGUGCCCUGAUUCGUUAGAAUCCUUAGGAUUGUGGUACAUGAGACUUAAUUUGUGAAUCUUUUUUUGCAAAUGUACUGAAAUAUUAAAAAAAGGUAUACUAGGCUUUAGAAAGCAACUGCUUGAACUGAAAAGUUGGUGUUUUAUAAAUGCAUACCCUGCAAUUUCUUAAUGAAGCCUUCCUCAAUGCAAGUAAAUAUCAUAUAAACAUUAUUUCAACUAAAAUAUUUCAACAGUUUUCAUCCAUGCUUGAACAUGGUGUUCUGGUUCCUUGUAUUUUAUAAAAGACAUUGAAGAAUAUGUAUUUAUUUGAAUAUUUGAGGUAAUUCCUUCAGCAAGAUGCCUGUUCCUUGGCACCAAAAGUCUCUUGCCUAUUCCUUCUUCGUUGCACAGUACCCAUGUUAGGAGACUUGUUUGUUUGGUUUUUUGUUUGGGUUUUAAUCCUUUCAAGGUAAGAAAGGAGGAGAACUUAUUUAUGUACUUGUAACAGUUACGUACAGUUUUUGACUGUCACAGCUGGUAUGUUAUUCACCACAUACCAAAGCCUCUGUAAAAAUGUUUAUUCUACCUGGUUUAGUCUGGAAAGGCAUGAAACAAGCACUUCUGCUAUGCCAGGAGGAUGGACUGGAGUCGCGCUGGAAAUUAGAUGCGCAAGUAUAGAUGUAGCUUUACAGAAACAAGAGCAGCAACACAAAGCCAGAGCGCGUUCGUCAUUUUAGCGUCAUGGUAAAUGAACAUCAGCUAUUAAGCCAACUGUGCCAAAAGAAUUAUGGCAAUGGAGGAACUGAUGAAUGACAAGCAGUGUAUGCAGCGAGUGGGGAUUGCAGUAAAAAGGCAACUGAACGUAUCCUGCAUGCACAAGCACCAUCGUAUGGUCAGGAGGUGACAGGGUCUGGAAACCAGCAGUUUGUGCAAUGCUGCUGCUGUUAUUAAAGGCAGGGCAGCUGUUUGAAGCUUUGUCAAUGUUUAGCCCCGGCCUUGCAGCAAGAAGUGACCCGGAACGGCUCAUGGAAAAACAGCAGAAACUCCUUUUCCAGCAGCGAGCUAGAAGGAACUUUUGAAAGGGCUACAAAACUAAUGCAACAAAAACAUAAUUUUAAAAUGCUUUUGGAUUUUGUAUAUACUAGAACAAAAUCAGCAAAGAUGUUAAUUGAAAAUUCAUGCUUCACCCCUCCAGAACAAAAUCUGAGAUUUGGCUGGAAACGGCAUUUCCCAAAUGCAUACUGAAGUCUCAGAAAUAAUUUCCAACACAGCGCUUUAACUGUGCACCAUUGCACAAGAUAUCUACUUAUUUGUAUUGAAGAAGCAUGAUGUAUUACAUCAUGCUGCCUUCUUAAAUAUUGAAGUAAUGCAGCCUGGCACAGCAAUGUCUUCAGUCAGCAUUGUAUCCUUUAA
This is a long non-coding RNA of Aquila chrysaetos chrysaetos, 3561 nucleotides long. RefSeq lists it as uncharacterized. Lineage: Eukaryota; Metazoa; Chordata; Aves; Accipitriformes; Accipitridae. The record is from RefSeq and is a predicted model, not a curated record. The transcript has 2 exons.